GACGAACGCUGGCGGCGUGCUUAACACAUGCAAGUCGAACGGUAAGGCUCCAGCUUGCUGGGGUACACGAGUGGCGAACGGGUGAGUAACACGUGGGUGACCUGCCCUGCACUUCGGGAUAAGCCUGGGAAACUGGGUCUAAUACCGGAUAGGACUGCACCGUGAGGGUGUGGUGGAAAGUUUUUUCGGUGUGGGACGGGCCCGCGGCCUAUCAGCUUGUUGGUGGGGUAAUGGCCUACCAAGGCGGCGACGGGUAGCCGGCCUGAGAGGGUGGACGGCCACAUUGGGACUGAGACACGGCCCAGACUCCUACGGGAGGCAGCAGUGGGGAAUAUUGCACAAUGGGCGGAAGCCUGAUGCAGCGACGCCGCGUGGGGGAUGACGGCCUUCGGGUUGUAAACUCCUUUCACCAUCGACGAAGGGUUUCUGACGGUAGAUGGAGAAGAAGCACCGGCUAACUACGUGCCAGCAGCCGCGGUAAUACGUAGGGUGCGAGCGUUGUCCGGAAUUACUGGGCGUAAAGAGCUCGUAGGUGGUUUGUCGCGUCGUCUGUGAAAUUCCGGGGCUUAACUCCGGGCGUGCAGGCGAUACGGGCAUAACUUGAGUACUGUAGGGGAGACUGGAAUUCCUGGUGUAGCGGUGAAAUGCGCAGAUAUCAGGAGGAACACCGGUGGCGAAGGCGGGUCUCUGGGCAGUAACUGACGCUGAGGAGCGAAAGCAUGGGGAGCGAACAGGAUUAGAUACCCUGGUAGUCCAUGCCGUAAACGGUGGGCGCUAGGUGUGGGUUUCCUUCCACGGGAUCCGUGCCGUAGCUAACGCAUUAAGCGCCCCGCCUGGGGAGUACGGCCGCAAGGCUAAAACUCAAAGGAAUUGACGGGGGCCCGCACAAGCGGCGGAGCAUGUGGAUUAAUUCGAUGCAACGCGAAGAACCUUACCUGGGCUUGACAUAUACAGGAUCGCGCCAGAGAUGGUGUUUCCCUUGUGGCUUGUAUACAGGUGGUGCAUGGUUGUCGUCAGCUCGUGUCGUGAGAUGUUGGGUUAAGUCCCGCAACGAGCGCAACCCUUGUCUUAUGUUGCCAGCACGUUGUGGUGGGGACUCGUAAGAAACUGCCGGGGUUAACUCGGAGGAAGGUGGGGAUGACGUCAAAUCAUCAUGCCCCUUAUGUCCAGGGCUUCACACAUGCUACAAUGGUCGGUACAGUGGGUUGCCAGUCCGUGAGGGCGAGCUAAUCCCGCAAAGCCGGUCUCAGUUCGGAUCGGGGUCUGCAACUCGACCCCGUGAAGUCGGAGUCGCUAGUAAUCGCAGAUCAGCAACGCUGCGGUGAAUACGUUCCCGGGCCU
Molecule: ribosomal RNA, 1341 nt
Filed under: uncultured bacterium
Lineage: Bacteria
Description: partial 16S ribosomal RNA
Rfam family: Bacterial small subunit ribosomal RNA
Source: RNAcentral